This 199-nucleotide long non-coding RNA is filed under the name Panax ginseng (ginseng). RNAcentral describes it as "long non-coding RNA (PGIN_LNC017232)". The record is from RNAcentral. Lineage: Eukaryota; Viridiplantae; Streptophyta; Magnoliopsida; Apiales; Araliaceae.
CCCUCAUCUUCCACCACAUCUCCGCCUAAUUGCAUCAUUAACAAUUUCUUCAUCAUCAAUUCUUGUCAUUAUCCAAAGUUCUCUGCUCUAUUUCACCUAAUUCUUAUAUCUAUUUAACAAUGGAGUAUCAGUAGAAAAAUAGAAGAAAAAUUAUUCAUGAUUUACUUGAAUCUUAGGGCCUUUAUCUUUUACUUUUUUU